CUGCAGCCCGGCUUGAGUGGAAAUCCUUUUUUGUGGCUGGAAAAGCCAGGCAAAAAGAUUGGGAACGGAAGACGGAUAAAGC
Molecule: small RNA, 82 nt
Filed under: Epilithonimonas lactis
Lineage: Bacteria; Pseudomonadati; Bacteroidota; Flavobacteriia; Flavobacteriales; Weeksellaceae
Description: Chryseobacterium halperniae Flavo-1 RNA
Source: RNAcentral